RNAcentral lists this small RNA (29 nucleotides) under Bombyx mori (domestic silkworm). Its description in RNAcentral is "ovarian small RNA-27606". Lineage: Eukaryota; Metazoa; Arthropoda; Insecta; Lepidoptera; Bombycidae. The record is from RNAcentral.
UCCGUCGAAAUGGUGCGGUAGGCCCACAC